Molecule: non-coding RNA, 5145 nt
Filed under: Pan troglodytes (chimpanzee)
Lineage: Eukaryota; Metazoa; Chordata; Mammalia; Primates; Hominidae
Source: RNAcentral
CAUCUCCUUCUCCUUCUUCUGCUCCCGAUUCUCCUCCUCUCCUUUCUCUUCGUCUUCUCCUCUUCCUUCUUGUCCCCUCCUCCUCCUUCUCCAUCUCCUCUACUCCUCCUUCUCCUCCUCCUCCUUCUCUUCCUUUCCUCCUUUCCUCUUUUUCUCAUCCUCUCCUCCUCCUCUCGUCCUCUUCUCUUUUCCUCAUUCUUUUCUUCUUCUCCUCCUCCUUCUCUUUUUUUCUCCCUACUUCCUCCUAGCUUCCCUUUUCUCCUCUCCUCUCCUGGUCCUGUUGUCCCCCUCUCCUUUUUUUCUCCACUUCCUCUCUUCUUACUAUCUUCUUCUCAUUUUCUCUUCUAGUUCUUCUCUUUCCUCCUCCUUCUCUUCUCCUCCUCCUCUUUCUUCACUCCUCCACUCCUACUCCUUCUCUUACUGUGCCACUGGCCAUGCCAAACAACACCCAGCACAAGUAGUGGCACCCUCUUCAGCGCUGCGCUAGAAAGAACUGACGUGCAUUUAUAUUAGCUUUUGGAGCAUAGUACUAAUCCGGCCUAACUCAGGCGGCCAAGUAUAUAUAUAUACGUAUAUACAUAUGUAUGUAUAUACGUAUGUAUAUAUAUAUACACAUAUAUAUUUAUAAUUUAUAGAUAUAUUCUAUGAGAAAUAAUCUUGCUCUGUCACCUAGGCUGCAGUGCAGUGGCACAAGAUUAUGACUCACUGUAGCCUCAAGAGAUCCUCUCACCUCACCCUCCCGAGUAGCUGGGACUACAGGCGUGGCCCAUCACACCUGACUAAAUUCUUUUUUAGUGACGGGGUCUCAACACGUUGCCUAGUCUGGUCUGAAACUUCUGGGCGCAAGCUCUCUAAUGUUUUUGCAUUCAUAGUCUCCCUUAUUUUAAUUUCUCAAGUUUUUGCAAAAUUCUUACGUAACUAUCUGCCCUUUUCAUAGAGCGCUGUUUCUUGAGCCAGGUCUUCUGUCCAUACAUGGCCUCUUGAGAGAGUGGAUGUCAGCCAGCUACCCUGGCUGAGAGGGAUGGGGAUAAUACAGGGAUGCAAUAAAGGAGACAGUGAUAAUUUAUAUGAUCUGGGACCCCAGGCCUCACACCAGAACUGUCUAGUAUACUUUUAGCAAACAAGUGCCACUGAUCUGAGCCUUGUUCUGCCCUUCCACUUUCCACUUUAUUACACAAGCAGGAGAUAUGCAAGGGAGAAGGCAGGAUGAUGAGGAGACUAAAUUCCAGAAAAGGGCUGCGUGCAGUAAGCAGACAGUUGCCCCCAAAGUGGUCUGGGCUCCCACUUACCUUAGAGACAUGUGCAACACUUGUGAAUAGUUGUUUUACAAUUCUUAAAUCAGUGGACAGACUGUAAGCAUCCCAUUGGUGUCAGUUGCCAGGUGCCCAAUGCCUGUUCUCUGCAGCAACCUUUGUGGUCCCAUACCUGGGAGUGAGUUCUGUUCCUGCAGAGUGCCCUGUGCAUUCUGGUGCUUUUGUGCCCUCUCCUCUAACCUAUAAACUGACAACUCUAACUCUAUAUUUUCACUUACAAUUUUUCUGAAGCAGUGAUCUUUUGUCAUCUUGAUCACACUACAAGUCGCUCACCCUGCAAGUACUUGUAAAAAUGAAAGUAAUGUCCAUUCCUUCUGGAAGGUGAUUGCCAUGUACACAACCUACUAGGCCAGGAACAUUACUGCUGGCUGUCCUGAUGCAUGUCUCUCUCACCCCCAUGUCCAAUCAGUCACCAGGCUCUCCCCAAAACCAUGCUCCAGUCACUGACUUUGGCUGUUUAAUCACUUCUGACCUAAGGUCCUCAUUGAGUCAUAAGUACCUCUUGAGUUAAUUUUCGGCCUCCAGUUUCUCUCUACUGCUGUUUAUCUUCCACCCUGCUGCCAGAGUCAUCAUCCUCAAAAAUGAAAGCUGCUCUCAUUGUUUGCCUGCCUAAUAACAUCUCUUCCCUCCCUGUUGUCUACAAAAAGAAAAAUCCAAACUCCUUCACUUGUUUUACAAAGACCCUCAUCUGCUUCCAAACCAAAUUGCUAGUCUUGGCUCUUGUCUCUGUCUUCCACAUCACUGACACACUGAAUAAUUCUUUACUGCCCCUGCUGUUGCAUGGGUUGUUCUUUUUGUUGUGUCUCCAUCCCCUUCCCCCAGCAAAGAGUAUUUACUCUUUACUCUUCUGUUGAGACCCAUCUCAAAUAGUACCUUUUCUAGGGAGAAUUAGGCCUUCUGUUCCUAAUAACUUUUACCCUCGUCUAUCAAGUCUGUCUGCUGUAAUUUAUCUGUUAACAUGUUUCUCCCACCUCAAGAAUAUUUUUUCCAUCUUCUGUACCUAGCACAAUUGCAUGGUUGGUGCUCACUGACUACUACAUGUUGAUUUAUUUAUUUUACUUGUUUGAGAGGUGGAGUCUUGCUCUGUUAUCCAGGCUGGUGUGCAGUGAUACAAUCUUGGCUCACUGCAGGCUCUGCCUCCCGGUUUCAAGCAAUUCUCCUGCCUCAGCCUCCCAAGUAGCUCCGAUUACAGGCACCCACCACCACGUCCAGCUAAUUUUUGUAUUUUCAGUAGAGACAGGUUUCACCACAUUGGUCAGGCUGGUUUUGAACUCCUGACCUCAGGUGAGCCGCCUGCCUCGGCCUGGCAAAAUGCUGGGAUUACAGGCAUAAGACACCAUGCCUGGACUUGCAUGCUGAUUUCUGAUAUAAAAAUGAAAUUUUUGAAGAUUUUGGAGAAUACCAUCAUGUAAAUUGGAAGCUAAGGCCUAACUAUUACUACACAUUCAGCAAAGGAAGUGGGUAUAAACUAACAACUUUGGCACAUCUGUCAUGCCGUAGUUUGCCGCAAGGUGGAAAAGAUUUUGGUGCUUUGGUGGGAAAUACUGUUGAAUUACAGAAAUUCUAAAACAAAAGUUGGCUCAGCUUAAAGAGAAAAGAAAAUGCUUGCUAAUGCCUGCUUGCACUAAAAGCUGUCACACUGUGGCCUUUAAUAAUUCUAAACAUUUUUAAUGGAUUUUGGUUUGAACUUCAAAUUCAAUAGGAAAAAUAAAUGCACAGAUAAAGGACCCAGAUCAUUUUAGAGCUCCAAUGUGUGAACCCGUUUUCUCUACUUAUUUAGAGUUUUGUUUCACUAGUGGCAUGAGUUAAUAGGAGUGUUGCUUUGUACAUACAUUCUCUUUAUUCCAUAAUUCUUGGUUUUAAAAAUUGAAUGCAAUACCAGAAACCUACAGGGUAUAAAUCUUGCUUGAUGUGUGUGCAAUGUACAUACUUGAUAAUAAUUGAUUAUAUAUCAUAUUUAUAAAAAGAAUCAUGCAUACUGUUUUAGGAGAACAUACUUUACCCUGAUACUUUAUUGUUAAAAACAACAAAGCAUUGUUCUAACUACUAAAAAUCAAAAAUUUAACUUUCUUUUAAAAGAGGUACAUGUAUCUUCAGAAAUAAAAGGGAUACCCAGAAGAUAAGGUAGGUGUUCUGAAACACGAGGUGAAACAUUUGAAUGGGUUUUUUUUGUCAAACAAUAUAUUUUUAACAAAGAAAAAGUUUGCAUUGUGGGUGAAAUAUCCUUAGUAUCUUUAUACAAGAUGAAAUCCUGAUUGAUUAGAGAUACGUUACUAACUUUAAAUGUCUUUUAAUAAGUGCUUACAUGCUAACUAGUAUUUAGACUCAUACCUGGCAGAUACAUUUAGACAUAAUAUUCUAACUUAGUUUCAUUUCUGAGGAGGCUUGUGUAUUUUCCUCUGUGAUACAGAAAAUAGAUUUUUAAAGCCAUUUUAUCUUUUACUUUAGAGUUUUAAUUGUUUGUUAAGUGGUUUAUAAUGGUUUAAUUAACAACCCGAACAGGUUUUCUGUGAUUUGGUUGGUUAAAUCUAUAUGUAUUUGGUUAAAAUAUUCUACUUCAAAGUUUUAAACCAAGAGUAACUUAAAGGAGUCUUAACUUGUGUUUCUCUGAAUUUGAUUUGUAUUUAAAUUAUGAAAUUAAGUUUUCAAAGAACGAUUUUUGUGUUCAAAAGCUUAUUAAGGUUUCACAACUUAAUUUUCCUAAGUACAAUUUUUUUCUAUCAGACUUAGCCUCCUUUUAGAAGACAGUUUUUUACUACCAAAUUUACCAUUCCCAUUUUUUUUUUUUACUUUUACAGAUCUGUAUUUAGUCCAUAAAUAUCCAAAUAUCUGCUUGUGAAGGUUCUGUCUUUACCACCAAGCCUACUGGUAUGGCAAAGACAUACAGUUGCUAAUCUCAUUAAAGAUAGAUCACAUUGAGAGAGACUCAUCUAGCCAUGAACAGGUCACUUCUAUCAGUGUUAACUGCUCAAAGUUAAGUAUGACAAGAAGCUAUGAAGUAAAGUUUGGCCUUUGUGUAUGGGAGAGCAAUGGAGGAUGCCAGGAUGCAGGUCAAGGAAGGCAUCCUGUGGAAGUAACAUUUGAGCUAAUAUCUGAAGGAUGUGUGAUAGAAGGAAAAAGAAUGCUUCAGAGAACAGCUGGUACAAAAGCCCUGAGGUUGAAAAGGUGGAUGUGUCAGGGAAAUGGGGGAAGUACAGUGUCUGGAAGAAGAAAAGACACUGAAUGAGGUGAAUGACAGGAAUGAUGAAGUAGAUAGGGGCUAGAGCAGAUUGUAAGAACUCUGGAAAGCUUUGAAAACUAUAGUUUUCAAAGUAGUAUGAUUUCAUCAAAAAGUAGUAUGAGGAAAUUUGCAUGCUAAGGACUAUUUUUACCCAAGUAGUAAAUAGACCUGGUAGAAGGAAAUAAUGAUUGGCCUUCUGUUUGGAAGAUCAGUUAGAAGGCUAGUUUAUGAAAACUUUGAAAAGCAGUGAUGGCUUGCAGCAUCGUGACAGUAAAGAUGGGAGCUCAAAUGGAUUUGAUAAAGGUUUAAGAGGUAAGAGAGGCUUGCUGAUUGGAUGGUGUGGGGAAGGGAUAGAUAACUUCCUGAUCUUGGAUUUUAUAGCUGGGUGGAUGGUGGUGCCUCACUGAGACUGGAAUGCUGGAUUAAGCAAUGUAUAUGAACAGGGCAUGUUCCCUACCCUUUAAAGAGUUAUGUAUAUGUUUUCCAUGUUUUUAGCUAUUUCUCCACUUGUAAUGUGUUUUAUUUGGUUAAAAAUUAUGUACCUGGCAUGGAUGACGCAUUAAAUAUACUUAUGUAACUGAUAAACCAAUGUUACAUUCUUACCUAUGAAAA